This 468-nucleotide ribosomal RNA is filed under the name uncultured bacterium. RNAcentral describes it as "partial 16S ribosomal RNA". It matches the Rfam family "Bacterial small subunit ribosomal RNA", at positions 28 to 507 of the family's 1533-position model. The record is from RNAcentral.
GACGAACGCUGGCGGCGUGCUUAACACAUGCAAGUCGAACGGUAAGGCGCCGCCCUUGUUGGGUGGUGGAGUGGCGAGGGGGAGAGUAACACGAGAGGAACGUGCCCUGGACCCUGCGACUAGUUCAGGAAACGGGAGUGAAGACAGGAUAGGAGAUCCUGCUGCAGGGGGGGGGUUGGACUGGUUCGGAGGUUGGGGCGGGAGGCGCGGGUGGUCAGGUUGUUGGUGGGGUAGGGGCGUACGCGGGCUUUGACGGGUGGCCGGCCUGAGAGGGUGACCGGCCACGUUGGGACUGCGAUGCGGCCCAGACUCCUACGGGAGGCAGCAGUGGGGAAUAGUGCACAAUGGGCGGACGCCUGAUGCAGCAACGCCGCGUGCGGGAUGACGGCCUUCGGGUUGUAAACCGCUUUCGCCUGUGACGAAGCGUGAGUGACGGUAAUGGGUAAAGAAGCGCCGGCUAACUACGUG